RNAcentral lists this ribosomal RNA (1478 nucleotides) under Vibrio parahaemolyticus. RNAcentral's name for it is "partial 23S ribosomal RNA". It matches the Rfam family "Bacterial large subunit ribosomal RNA", at positions 1 to 1531 of the family's 2925-position model. Lineage: Bacteria; Pseudomonadati; Pseudomonadota; Gammaproteobacteria; Vibrionales; Vibrionaceae. The record is from RNAcentral.
GUUGUAUGGUUAAGUGACUAAGCGUACACGGUGGAUGCCUUGGCAGUCAGAGGCGAUGAAAGACGUAGUAACUUGCGAUAAGCCCAGAUUAGGUAGUAACAACCAUUUGAGUCUGGGAUUUCUGAAUGGGGAAACCCACGUGCAUAAGCACGUAUCCUUACCUGAAUACAUAGGGUAAGGAGGCGAACCGGGGGAACUGAAACAUCUAAGUACCCCGAGGAAAAGAAAUCAACCGAGAUUCCGAAAGUAGCGGCGAGCGAAAUUGGACUAGCCCUUAAGCUUUACACGCGUUAGACGAACGGUCUGGAAAGUCCGACGAUACAGGGUGAUAGUCCCGUAGUUGACGACGUGUGUUCAGUGAAAUCGAGUAGGGCGGGACACGUGAUAUCCUGUCUGAAUAUGGGGGGACCAUCCUCCAAGGCUAAAUACUACUGACUGACCGAUAGUGAACCAGUACCGUGAGGGAAAGGCGAAAAGAACCCCUGUGAGGGGAGUGAAAUAGAACCUGAAACCGUGUACGUACAAGCAGUAGGAGCAGGCUUUGUCCUGUGACUGCGUACCUUUUGUAUAAUGGGUCAGCGACUUAUAUUCAGUGGCAAGGUUAACCAUCUAGGGGAGCCGUAGGGAAACCGAGUCUUAACUGGGCGUUCAGUCUCUGGAUAUAGACCCGAAACCAGGUGAUCUAGCCAUGGGCAGGUUGAAGGUUGAGUAACAUCAACUGGAGGACCGAACCGACUAAUGUUGAAAAAUUAGCGGAUGACUUGUGGCUAGGGGUGAAAGGCCAAUCAAACCUGGAGAUAGCUGGUUCUCCCCGAAAGCUAUUUAGGUAGCGCCUCGGACGAAUACUACUGGGGGUAGAGCACUGUUAAGGCUAGGGGGUCAUCCCGACUUACCAACCCUUUGCAAACUCCGAAUACCAGUAAGUACUAUCCGGGAGACACACGGCGGGUGCUAACGUCCGUCGUGGAGAGGGAAACAACCCAGACCGCCAGCUAAGGUCCCAAAUUACUACUAAGUGGGAAACGAUGUGGGAAGGCUCAGACAGCCAGGAUGUUGGCUUAGAAGCAGCCAUCAUUUAAAGAAAGCGUAAUAGCUCACUGGUCGAGUCGGCCUGCGCGGAAGAUGUAACGGGGCUAAGUAGUAAACCGAAGCUGCGGCAAUGUGCUUUUGCACAUUGGGUAGGGGAGCGUUCUGUAAGCGGUUGAAGGUGUGUGGUAACGCAUGCUGGACGUAUCAGAAGUGCGAAUGCUGACAUGAGUAACGAUAAAGGGGGUGAAAAACCUCCUCGCCGGAAGACCAAGGGUUCCUGUCCAACGUUAAUCGGGGCAGGGUAAGUCGACCCCUAAGGCGAGGCCGAAAGGCGUAGUCGAUGGGAAACGGGUUAAUAUUCCCGUACUUCUUACAAUUGCGAUGGGGGGACGGAGAAGGCUAGGUGGGCCUGGCGACGGUUGUCCAGGUUCAAGUGCGUAGGCUUAAGA